Molecule: long non-coding RNA, 378 nt
Filed under: Struthio camelus australis
Lineage: Eukaryota; Metazoa; Chordata; Aves; Struthioniformes; Struthionidae
Description: lncRNA (ENSSCUG00000011135.1)
Source: RNAcentral
GCAACAUUUAAUCUCCAGCGCCAAGUUGCUAGGACAUCUUAGACUAUUGGGUUCUGCUCAGGCAUAAUUCCAUCAUUACCAUUGAUUUGUUCGCUCACGCUCCCCAUGGUGCUUUUAAUCAGCUCUCCAUCUUUGUGCCUUCACACCUUUACGCUUUUCAUGAUUGGCUCUGCUACCUUCUGCCUCUGCAAUGAAAUAGUGCCGUAGAAAUCCUUCUGCAUCUUACACACUUUAACAAUUCCAUUUCUUCUCUCUCUGGUCCAGUGAAGGGAUGUCCCUUUCCCACAAAGGCACCACUGUCUCUACAAAGCUCUCUGCAUUGUAUACAGAAGAUAAAACUAACACACUGGUAAAGGAUUUUCAGUUGGAUAAGUUCCU